RNAcentral lists this ribosomal RNA (1455 nucleotides) under Triticum aestivum (bread wheat). RNAcentral's name for it is "partial small subunit ribosomal RNA". The record is from RNAcentral. Lineage: Eukaryota; Viridiplantae; Streptophyta; Magnoliopsida; Poales; Poaceae.
AUGAAAAACCAAACUUCUCCCGCAAGACUGGUUCGCACCAAAUCGCAUCGCCCUUCGAGUCGCCCCUCACUGAUCCCUUCGCGUCCUGCUUCCCAAGCCACAGCCCACAGGCCCCCACGCCCCCACGCCCCCACGCCCAGCUCCUCCCGCUCCGAUUUCACAGCCUGCGAGCUAGCCAUGUCGAUUCGGCCGCUGUUGCUGCCGGAGCCGCCGGGCGAGGUGGAUCGGGCGCCGGAGAUCUUCGCGGGUGGCGUGGCCGCGGUGCGCCGCGCCGUUGUCAUCGGGAACGGCUGCGCCGGCGCCGAGAACCAGUGCCUCGGCCUCGUCCGCGCCCUCGGCCUGGCCGACCGCCUCACCCUCUAUCGUAUUAUCAGGCCAACCGGAGGAAUCAACAAGUGGCUGCACUUUCUCCCUAUCUCCUUGCAUAAAAUGGUGGACCAAGUACUCAGACAUAUACUGUCUAACACGACAUUCACAACACUGUUUCAAGGAAAACUGUCAGCACCUUAUCCUGUCAGUAAUGUUCAAUCUCUUGGGUUGUCUUCUGUACUGGGAGCAGAUUCCAAAAGGAUAGUGACAAUGGUCCGUGAUACCUUCGAGAAGGAAGGCCUGGCGAUAGUUAUUGCUUGUGGCCGUGAUACCAUACCAUAUGCAAGCUCUGUAAGGUGUUUAGCUCCAGAUAAUGUCUUUGUCAUUCAGAUACAACACCCCAGGUAUCGCCUUGAUAGGUUUGAUUUGGUGGUGACUCCUCGCCAUGAUUACUACGCUUUAACUGCAAAGGGACAACAAGAAGUACCGUGGCUUUUCCGGAGAUGGAUUACUCCACGAGAACCACCCGGUCUGAAUGUGGUCCUGACGUCUGGAGCACUUCACCAAGCAGAUUCUGCUGCACUACGCGUUGCUGCUACAAACUGGCAUGAUGAACUUGCUCCCUUGCCAAAGCCAUUGGUAGUAGUAAAUAUUGGAGGACCAACAAGAAACUGUAAUUAUGGUGUAGACCUUGCCAAGCAGUUGGUAAGCUCACUGCACAAUGUUUCAGAGACCUGUGGAAGUGUCAGAAUUUCAUUUUCCAGGAGAACGCCACAAAAGGUGUCCGAUCUUAUAUUGAGAGAGUUCAGCACACAUCCAAAGUUCUACAUUUGGGGCGGUGAAGAACCUAACCCACACCUAGGGCAUCUUGCAUGGGCCGAUGCUUUCAUCAUAACAGCAGACUCGAUAAGUAUGCUAAGUGAGGCGUGCAGCACUGGGAAGCCGGUCUAUGUCGUUGGAACUGAGCAUUGCAGGUGGAAAUUCUCAGAUUUUCACAACACUCUGCAGAAACGAGGGGCUGUUCGUCCUUUCACUGGAUCGGAAGAUAUGUCAGACAGCUGGAGCUACCCUCCUCUGAACGAUGCCAUUGAUGUGGCUGCACGGGUUCGUGAAGUGCUUGCACAACGUGGAUGGACAGUGGGUUAA